AGGACGAACGCUGGCGGCGUGCUUAACACAUGCAAGUCGAGCGGUAAGGCCCCUUCGGGGGUACACGAGCGGCGAACGGGUGAGUAACACGUGAGUAACCUGCCCCCCACUUUGGGAUAACCCCGGGAAACCGGGGCUAAUACCGAAUACGACCACACGAGGCAUCUCGAGUGGUGGAAAGUUCCGGCGGUGGAGGAUGGACUCGCGGCCUAUCAGCUUGUUGGUGAGGUAACGGCCCACCAAGGCGACGACGGGUAGCCGGCCUGAGAGGGUGACCGGCCACACUGGGACUGAGACACGGCCCAGACUCCUACGGGAGGCAGCAGUGGGGAAUAUUGGACAAUGGGCGAAAGCCUGAUCCAGCCAUGCCGCGUGGAUGAUGAAGGCCUUAGGGUUGUAAAGUCCUUUUAACGGGAAGAUAAUGACGGUACCCGUAGAAUAAGCCCGGCUAACUUCGUGCCAGCAGCCGC
This 470-nucleotide ribosomal RNA is filed under the name uncultured bacterium. RNAcentral's name for it is "SSU rRNA". It matches the Rfam family "Bacterial small subunit ribosomal RNA", at positions 26 to 518 of the family's 1533-position model. The record is from RNAcentral.